This 665-nucleotide ribosomal RNA is filed under the name Escherichia coli. Its description in RNAcentral is "partial 23S ribosomal RNA". It matches the Rfam family "Bacterial large subunit ribosomal RNA", at positions 524 to 1191 of the family's 2925-position model. Lineage: Bacteria; Pseudomonadati; Pseudomonadota; Gammaproteobacteria; Enterobacterales; Enterobacteriaceae. The record is from RNAcentral.
CCCCGGCGAGGGGAGUGAAAAAGAACCUGAAACCGUGUACGUACAAGCAGUGGGAGCCUCUUAAUGGGGUGACUGCGUACCUUUUGUAUAAUGGGUCAGCGACUUAUAUUCUGUAGCAAGGUUAACCGAAUAGGGGAGCCGAAGGGAAACCGAGUCUUAACUGGGCGUUAAGUUGCAGGGUAUAGACCCGAAACCCGGUGAUCUAGCCAUGGGCAGGUUGAAGGUUGGGUAACACUAACUGGAGGACCGAACCGACUAAUGUUGAAAAAUUAGCGGAUGACUUGUGGCUGGGGGUGAAAGGCCAAUCAAACCGGGAGAUAGCUGGUUCUCCCCGAAAGCUAUUUAGGUAGCGCCUCGUGAAUUCAUCUCCGGGGGUAGAGCACUGUUUCGGCAAGGGGGUCAUCCCGACUUACCAACCCGAUGCAAACUGCGAAUACCGGAGAAUGUUAUCACGGGAGACACACGGCGGGUGCUAACGUCCGUCGUGAAGAGGGAAACAACCCAGACCGCCAGCUAAGGUCCCAAAGUCAUGGUUAAGUGGGAAACGAUGUGGGAAGGCCCAGACAGCCAGGAUGUUGGCUUAGAAGCAGCCAUCAUUUAAAGAAAGCGUAAUAGCUCACUGGUCGAGUCGGCCUGCGCGGAAGAUGUAACGGGGCUAAACCAUG